CCUACGGGUGGCUGCAGUGAGGAAUAUUGGUCAAUGGGCGGAAGCCUGAACCAGCCAAGUCGCGUGAGGGAUUAAGGCCCUGCGGGUCGUAAACCUCUUUUGCCGGGGAGCAGUGGUCCGGACGCGUCCGGACCGGGAGAGUACCCGGAGGAAAAGCAUCGGCUAACUCCGUGCCAGCAGCCGCGGUAAUACGGAGGGUGCGAGCGUUAAUCGGAAUUACUGGGCGUAAAGCGCUCGUAGGCGGUAUGUCAAGUCAAGGGUGAAAUCCCCGCGCUCAACGUGGGAACUGCCUUUGAAACUGGCAAACUGGAGUGUGUGAGAGGAUAGUGGAAUUCCAGGUGUAGGAGUGAAAUCCGUAGAUAUCUGGAGGAACAUCAGUGGCGAAGGCGACUAUCUGGCACAUAACUGACGCUGAGGAGCGAAAGCGUGGGUAGCAAACAGGAUUAGAUACCCCAGUAGUC
RNAcentral lists this ribosomal RNA (461 nucleotides) under uncultured bacterium. Its description in RNAcentral is "partial 16S ribosomal RNA". It matches the Rfam family "Bacterial small subunit ribosomal RNA", at positions 338 to 795 of the family's 1533-position model. The record is from RNAcentral.